AUACGUAGGUGGCAAGCGUUGUCCGGAAUUAUUGGGCGUAAAGCGCAUGUAGGCGGUUUGGUAAGUCGGUCGUGAAAAUUCGGUGCUUAACGCCGUAUGGCGAUUGAAACUGCUGAACUUGAGUGCAGGAGAGGAAAGGGGAACUCCCAGUGUAGCGGGGAAAUGCGUAGAUAUUGGGAAGAACACCGGUGGCGAAGGCGCCUUUCUGGACUGUGUCUGACGCUCAGAUGCGAAAGCCAGGGUAGCGAACGGGAUUAGAUACCCCGGUAGUCCUGGCCGUAAACGAUGGGUACUAGGUGUGGGAGGUAUCGACUCCUUCCGUGCCGGAGUUAACGCAAUAAGUACCCCGCCUGGGGAGUACGGCCGCAAGGCUUAAACUCAAAUGAAUUGACGGGG
RNAcentral lists this ribosomal RNA (396 nucleotides) under uncultured bacterium. Its description in RNAcentral is "partial 16S ribosomal RNA". It matches the Rfam family "Bacterial small subunit ribosomal RNA", at positions 523 to 918 of the family's 1533-position model. The record is from RNAcentral.